RNAcentral lists this long non-coding RNA (1044 nucleotides) under Rattus norvegicus (Norway rat). RNAcentral's name for it is "long non-coding RNA NONRATT023836". The record is from RNAcentral. Lineage: Eukaryota; Metazoa; Chordata; Mammalia; Rodentia; Muridae.
GAAACCUCCCCACAAGUACUUGGAAAAAUAGCUAAGCAGGGUUGUGUUUGGCCUGCUGCCAGCUUCAUUUUAUGGCUGAUUUCAAUGCCUGCCCUGCUUUGUGCUCCACCAAGAAGGAAACCAGUUGCCCACACUAAGCAAAGCAUGACACACCACAGAAUUAUCCUCCAGCCUAGUGGGUUUGCAGAGUUGUAGCCUGUGGAGGAAGGGCCUCAGUCCACAGCUUCCUCUGUGUGUGUGUGUGUGUGUGUGUGUGUGUGUGUGCGCGCGCGCGCACACGUGCGCACAUGUACAGUCACCAUUAGUUUAACCCCAGAAUGGACAGGGUCCGCACAUCCCCACCCUGGAACUCAUGUUCCUCUAGGACACUCAGUUUUCUGUGUCCCUCCCUGCUGAACCUGCCUCUCCAGAAAAGCCCAAAGACGACAGCUUUUUCACCUGUGAACUAUAAGUGUAAGCCCUGGACCUCUCCUCCCAUGGCAGUCCCUUGGAACUAGUGACUUAGUCUCUUAACCUGUUGCAGCUCUGUUCCCCCACCCCCAGUGCCACAGCACCUUGUCAAACACAGCUCCUUGGAGGGACACCGAAAUUGGCUUGAGGCAGUUUUCCUGGCAUUUGUGUGGCUCCCUGGUACUGCUGUGGGAGUUUGGUAUUUUAUGAGAUGUCUGCAUGUGACCUUGUUAAGCAGUUCCAGCUGGAACGGACAUUAGCUUGACUCAGCUAGCCAUGUGACAUUUUGAUGCGGACCUUGGUGACAAGAAAGCUUCCGGAGAAGCCAGCACAGCCCUCCUGGCCCAGCCGUGUGGAUGUGGAGUGUUGCCCUCAGCUCCUGUGGACCUCAGUGACUGUCUGUCCAGCUGCAGCUUCUUCCUUUCUGUUUGUUCAUACUGUCUGUUUGUAUGGUAGCAUUAGCUGAUGUCACUGUGUACAUAAAUGGUACCUUUUUUUAAUUUGUAAAGGUCUAUUUUUAUUUGGCCCUUUGGAAGGUGGACGUUCUUGUGGUCACUCUUAAGUCAGAAUAAAAUGUCUGCACCUUCUCUGUAG